This 78-nucleotide transfer RNA is filed under the name Ralstonia syzygii. Its description in RNAcentral is "tRNA-Arg". Lineage: Bacteria; Pseudomonadati; Pseudomonadota; Betaproteobacteria; Burkholderiales; Burkholderiaceae. The record is from RNAcentral. RNAcentral also lists the same sequence under 2 other names.
GCCGGCAUGACCGACGAGGCGCGCAGCAAGGUCGUCUACGAGGUGGCCGACCUGUGGUUCCACACCAUGGUGCUGCUG